AUACGGAGGGUGCGAGCGUUGUUCGGAAUUAUUGGGCGUAAAGAGCAUGUAGGCGGUCUGUUAAGUCUGGUGUGAAAGCCCGGGGCUCAACACCGGAAGUGCAUUGGAUACUGGCGGACUUGAGUAUGGGAGAGGAAAGCGGAAUUCCGAGUGUAGGAGUGAAAUCCGUAGAUAUUCGGAGGAACACCAGUGGCGAAGGCGGCUUUCUGGACCAAUACUGACGCUGAGAUGCGAAAGCGUGGGGAGCGAACAGGAUUAGAAACCCCGGUAGUCC
RNAcentral lists this ribosomal RNA (274 nucleotides) under uncultured bacterium. RNAcentral describes it as "partial 16S ribosomal RNA". It matches the Rfam family "Bacterial small subunit ribosomal RNA", at positions 523 to 796 of the family's 1533-position model. The record is from RNAcentral.